GUCCCUUCGGGGACAUCCAAUGAAAUUGAGACGAUGGAGAGAAGAUUAACAUGACUCUUACGCUAAGAUGACACCCACAUAAUUUAAAAAAUCCCCUAAAAAUU
Non-coding RNA from Medicago truncatula (barrel medic), 104 nucleotides. Lineage: Eukaryota; Viridiplantae; Streptophyta; Magnoliopsida; Fabales; Fabaceae. The record is from Rfam.